Molecule: long non-coding RNA, 223 nt
Organism: Tachyglossus aculeatus (Australian echidna)
Lineage: Eukaryota; Metazoa; Chordata; Mammalia; Monotremata; Tachyglossidae
Exons: 3
Source: RefSeq, a predicted model, not a curated record
AGCUCUGGACCCCGAGUUGUCCCUGGAGAAAGAGAGGGACAACAUGGCGAACCCCAGGAGGGUGGUGUCCAGUAAAUGCCACCGAUGAUGAUGCUGAUGAUGAUGAAGGCAAGGGACGGUGUAGAAAGGACAGGGGAGCUCCAUGCUGCACUGAUGUUUCCACUGGACCCGGGCUCCUUUACCCGCCAUCAUCAGGAACACACAGAGCUUCUUCUUCAAUGAG